UUCUUACUAACCCAAUUGGUCAUCGGAGAUGAAUCAAAUGUUUGACGCAUCAAACUCACCAUAAACGCCGAUAGAACACAACUCUUAGAGCUAGAAUAAACAGAGGAUGGAAGGAAGAACGCACAAGGCACAUGUAACCAGCAGAGUUGCAUGCCCUAGGUUCAAGAGAAACAGAGAAACAGUAAAGAAUCACUUACUAGCGAGAAGGGAGAAAAUGAUCGGU
This 223-nucleotide long non-coding RNA is filed under the name Vigna radiata. RNAcentral's name for it is "long non-coding RNA (VRAD_LNC009271)". The record is from RNAcentral. Lineage: Eukaryota; Viridiplantae; Streptophyta; Magnoliopsida; Fabales; Fabaceae.